Non-coding RNA from Salmo salar (Atlantic salmon), 4591 nucleotides. The record is from RefSeq and is a predicted model, not a curated record. NCBI's taxonomy places the organism in Eukaryota, Metazoa, Chordata, Actinopteri, Salmoniformes, Salmonidae.
AUGUCUGUAAACAAUUGUUAGAGAAAUUACUUGUGUCAUGCACAAAGUAGAUGUCCUAACCGAGUUGCCAAAACUAUAGUUUGUUAACAAGACAUUUGUGGAGUGGUUGAAAAACUAGUUUUAAUGACUCCAACCUAAGUGUAUGUAAACUUCUGACUUCAACUGUAUCCCUGGGAACUAAAAACAGUGAGCUGGGGGAGUUGAGCCUGGGGGACUGGUGUCUUGGUCCUGGGGGCCUCUCCUCUCAACCUGAGCGAGGAGACUGAGGCGCUGAGAGAGGCUUACAGGGGCAUGGGGGCGACGUGGACUCACUCCGGGACCACAGGGACCAGCUGGAGAGCACGCUCCGACACACACAGGACCAGCUGCACAGGGUGACCGAGGAGAACGCCCAACUGAAAUGUAAACUCAGGGAGAAACGGGGGCCUGCGAGGCAGAGCAGGGGUGCUAGCUAGGAGGGAAAAGCAUGACAGGAAAUGCCCAGGAAAACAGGGUGCCAAUUCAUAACCUAAUACCCCAGGUUAGCAGAAAGCUUACCACAACUCCAACCCAGAAUAAUACUACCCUAUUCUUAGCCGACAAUGACCUAACCCUGUAUGCCUUUGCCCAGGAUGACCUAGCUCUAGCCUUUAACCAGGAGAGCCGGGCACAGGGCAGGCGUAUCAAGGAGCUCCUGCCUCACAUAGAGAGCCAGGGAUAGUAAGGAUAGUGAGAGGAAGCUAGAGAGGGAGAGCUCCAGGCUGGAGCAGGAGAACCAGGAGCAGGGAGGUCUUAUAACCGAGCUAACCAGGAAGACAGAGGAUGACCUCCACACUAUCAUGGAGCUGCAGCAGAGACUGACUGAGAGCGGUCAGCUAGGCCUACAACAGGGUGACCAUGGUUUGACCACUGAGUCCGAGUGUGGUCAAAAGUGUGACCAUGCGGUCGGGUCAGUGUUCGCUCAACAGGGUCAACCCCCGGUAGGGUUCGUGACCAGUCUACAAGGUGAUCACACGCCAGGGUCGGUGAAUAGUGGUGAACUGCAGGUUGACCACACGACCGAGUCAGUUAGGGAUCAAAAGGACGACCAUUUGGCCACAGAGUUCGUGUCCAGGCUUAGAGAGGAGAGGGACGAGCUAAUUGGGUCUCUCAGUGAUCUCAAAGAGGAAAGGGAACAGGUUUCCCUCUCACUCAGGUGUCAGACAGGGAAAGACCAGCUAACACACUCCGUGUGGGUUCUGAAAGAAGAACGCGUCCGGGUCAAUCAGGAACUCUGCCGUUUAAAAGAAGAGAAAGAACCGCUUACAAGGUCUGAAAGAUAAGAGACAAGGUGGUAUGGUCAAUGUGUGGUUUAAAAGAGGAGAGUGACCAGCUAGUUCAGUCAAGGUCUAGACUCCAGGAGGAGAGAUACCAGCUAGUGCAGUCAAUGUCUGGUUUCUACAAGGAGAGAGACCAGCUAGUUCUGUCAAUGUCUGGUUUCUACAAGGAGAGAGACCAGCUAGUUCCGUCAAUGUCUGGUUUCUUCAAGGAGAGAGACCAGCUAGUUCAGUCAAUGUCUGGUUUCUACAAGGAGAGAGACCAGCUAGUUCCGUCAAUGUCUGGUUUCUACAAGGAGAGAGACCAGCUAGUUCAGUCAAUGUCUGGUUUCUACAAGGAGAGAGACCAGCUAGUUCAGUCAAUAUCUGGUUUCUACAAGGAGAGAGACAAGCUCUCGCAGUCUCUCUUCAGUCAAGAAGAUGAGAGACCAACUAAACGACACUCCACAAUCUAGAAGAAGAGAGAGACCAGUUGAUGCAAUCAAUGUGUGGUUUAAAGGGACAGAGAGACUAGCUAACAGAGACACUCAGCCUUCUAGAGCAGGAGAGUGACAAACUGUCAUCUCUCUGCCUUCAAACAGAAGACAGAGACCCGGUCAACCAGUUUAAAGAAGAGCGAGAGCAGUUGGUUCAGUCAAUGGAUGUUCUGUGCGAACAGAGGGAGCAUCUCAGAGCAGAGAGAGACCAGUUGCAGAUGGACGUCGCUCCUUUACGGAAUCAGCUGCUGUCACAGGGGCGGAGUUACAACCAGCAGUACUCUGAGAACCACGUUGGCAUGGCAACACACACAGAGGGUGGGGUCGCUGCGCCAAAUACGGAGAGAGGGGGGUCGCUGCGCCAAAUACGGAUAAUGACGUCGUUCAGAGAAGUCUGGCCACGGUCUACUCCUACAAGACCAUCCGUCUGGGACAGUCUGCACAGGGACACUUGGAAGAGGUGACAGAGGUGGAGCAGAGUGAACUGAUGGAGGAGAUCAAGUCGUUGGGGGCAGAACACAGAAGGUCACGAGACGAACUGGAGAAGAACCAAUCAGAGGGAGGUGAAGAGCAGACUUGCGGGUCUGGAGAGAGAGAAGACUGAUGCCAACUUACUCUGGACUCCGAUAGAAGAGAACUUCAACUGGCUUCAGACUGAACUGAAAGUACAAUGUUCUUCUGAGAAAGAAGAGCCAGACGGAUCUGGACAUAGCUGCUCUAAAGGAUCUCCCUUCCAAGACCAGACACCAGGUUUACUCCAGUCCCCCUCCAGGUCAGGCAAACUCUGCAGGUUACCCCAACCCAAACCUUGCUGCCCUCAACCGACCCAAGCAUACCCCCAUAACAGCUACCCCUUUUACUACUACUACUACUACUACUACUACUACUACUACUGCCCCUGCUCGGACUGUUAAAGCACGAAGUACCACUACCUCGUUGAACACUGCCCCCACCCAAAACUUCCCCUCCAACAAUUACCCUUAAAACUACAGCCCCCACUAAAGCUGCCCCCUCCACCUCUGCUCUGCCCCCCACUGAGAGGCCAUAACUGCCUGAUGAGGACCAUUGUGUCAAGAAGCUCCUCUCCAACUGCCAACCUGAACAAGCUAAAUCAACUAAACCCCAGAGCUAAGCCGGAACCUCCAGCUGAGGUGGGCUCUGUUGAGGUCAUCAGGAUGGUGGGACAGAGCAGCCUCAUGAUUGGCUGGAUGAGCUGGGCUGCAGCAACGGAACCUUUGUGUAUGGAUACAGGAUCUAUGUAGAUGGGGAAUGUGUAUUUUUGAGAAGCUGUCCGGUUCACAUCAGUGUUCAGACCCUGGGCUCCAACGGUCUCUACACUGACAAGAUUCAUGUCAUCUACAGGGGGAAACCAUGCCCAGUUUAGGACAGACCACACCCCUUUCAUCAUAGACCACACCCAUGACACCACGGCUUCCGCUGCACUUUGCACAGACCACACCUCCCCAGACUGCAGGACUCCGCCCACACACCGACACAGUGGCUCCACCCAACCACUACAGUCCUCUGGGGGACAGCCCUAACCUCCACCCUAGCAGAGCUGGCCCUGAGAGAGGGAGAUACUGUCACGCUGCUAGGCAACCCCCGCAACGACGGCUUCUGUGAGGCCGAGGUGAAUGGCAGACGAGGUCUGGCUCCUGUUGCCUUCCUAGAGGAAAUUCUUGUUCCAGACAGACAUGUAACCGACCGAAGGAACAGAUUAUAGGUCACUGUGACUGCGAAUUAGAGAGAGGACAAGAUGACAGGCCACUGUGACUGCCAAUCAGAGAGAGGACAAGAUGAGGAGCCACUGUGACUGCAAAUCAAAUGAUGCUUCCCUACAGAGAGAUUAUAGUGGCCAACAUUAAUGACAUCAUCAAACUCUGCCUGCCCAUGACAAAAGCAUUCAUAAGUGCUCACAGCCUAAAGUCAUUUCUAAUGGAAAGCUACUCUAAAGCACUAGCCUAAAUGUGGGUGUGUUUGUGUGUAUGGCCCAGUUUGACAUUGUGCUUCUAUAAACCAAUGCUUUUAACCUACAUCCUGCUCAUUGAGAUCGUGUCAAAUCACCUCUGUUCUUCAAAAUCCCCCACUGUUCUGUGUCUAAUCUCUCGUGGACAGACGCACUUAGCAUAGCUGGUAUCCUAGCGUCUGUCAGCAGACUGUGGGAUGCGACGACUAACGAGGAACUUGGUUCCGGUGCACAGAUUUUUCGUCAUUUUGGACAAAUCACGAUUUCGCAUCUUUCUAUUUUCGGAAGAGGAGGGGACAUUUGGACCGUGGACUUGCCUGUAAAUUGCAACUGGAGAGGAGCUACCGGCCUGCGUCCCCUCCACGUUCUAGUAUUUUUUCGAACACAUCUGCCCCCAGAACUUAAUCAAGCAUCUGGCACAAUUACGUAAGGUUUUGGGUUUCCGAGAUUAUUCUGUAUGUGACAAGUGUCAAAAACAAAGGUGGGCCUGAAUGAUGUGACAACCUGUCUGUCUGACAAUCCGUCUGAAAGCCUCUCUAACAUGGUGGUGAUAUCAAGUGAUGUUUUACAUUAUGAUAAAGCAAAGUCGUUUUCACAAGGCCAUUUUACUUGAUCUUUAGGUAUUGAGCCAAAUAUGAAAAAAAAGCUCCAUUCCAAAGACUUUGAUAUUUCUGUUCCUCGUCGUUACGUUUACAGAAAAUGUUUUUGAUCAAAAUCAAAUCAUGAAGUAAAUUGUCUGAGAUCUUCUUCUACUGUAGAAUCGAUUCAAUCUAUGAAGUCAUGUCAUUCAGAUGGAUAGAAGUUUAUGGCUGAUAUAUUUUGUAGAGAUUAUUAAAUAACCUGAGGUAUGCAAA